AGUAAGCAGGUUCGAGUGGGUGUAGGCCGCAGUAGCUAUCCAGAGAUGAAGGGACUUGCACAAGAUAGAUUAAUACGGAGAGCUGCAUCAAACCAGCCUUCGGACUGAAGACAACGACAGCAGUCUUUUUUAUGCUCUGUUCCACGUUGGAGAGCUGACUGCUUUGAUUCACUCUGCAACAACUUCCUUUCUUGAGUCAACCUGUCUUCAUCUCAGAGUAGACUUAUACUCAACAUCUUCAAUUAUUUGUGGGAUGUAUUUCAAUGUGUGUUCCCCUACAGUUUUUACUCUCUGCAACUCCUUCUAGUAUCACAGAGGCUAUUAGCUGAUAUCUUGACGCAUGCCCUAUCAUCCUGUCCGUUCUUGGUUUUUUCAUAUGAUUCUUUCUCCACCAGUUCUGUGGAGGACAGCUUCUUUUCUUAUCAUUUCAGUCCAGCCAAUUUUCAACAUCCUACUGUAACACCACAUCUAAAAUGCUUUAGUCCUCUUCCCUUAGUCCAAGAUUCACACCCGUAUUAUACUGCACUUCAGGCUUCCAUUUCCAGAGAUUUCUUCCUCAAAUUAUGGCCUGUGUUUGAUACCAGUAGACUUCUUUUGGCCAGAAUCACCCUCUUGCCUGUGCUAGUUUGCUUCUUGCAUCCACAGCUCCUUCAAAUUUCUUUGAAGAAGUAAUUAUUCUUCACUGGGCUGGUUUGUACUAGAAACCAUAGUUUUAUUUCAUUGGCAGUUAUCUAAUUUUGUAUUUUAAUUUUAAUUAUAAAUCAAGUUGUUGCUGAACUGAAUUAUGGAAGUUAUGUGCAGGUUCAGACAAACAAGAAAUAGUUAAACACCAUCCCCAGUUAGUUACAUCACACAAAAUUUGUUUUAUAUGCUUCUGUUUGUCAGCAUGGCAUGGUCUGCUUUGCUUAACAUAUUUUUUAUUACUUACAAAUAGUGGGAAGUCCAGGAUGGAAUAACAACAGUAUUACAGAGAGGACACAUUGCUGCUUACCAUAUAGAGGAGGCAGUGAUUUGCAAGCAGGCACAGUGAAAUGACCGCUAUAUAUUUAACUGUUUGGCCAAAAGGCCUUCAUCUUUUUGGCCAAAAGCGUAAAUGUACUGCUGUCUUUUUGUUCCGCCUAUCUGCAACUCAGAGUUACCUCUGUAUGGUAAGUAGCGAUCUGUCCUGUUCAUAAUAUUGUUGUUAUUAUUUGCACUAAGUGCUUAUGACACACUAUGUGUGUUCUCAAUAUUUUGUUGGCAAAGCUUUUUUUCGUUUUCCAAUGCUGCAGUCACUUGUUUGCACACCACAUGAGCUGUAUAAGCAUCUUUAUUUCCUACUAUUGUCAGCUUUGUUAUGCAUUUAUAUGUUGUUUGUGGUCGGUGACUAUUUUUGACUGUGUGUUAAUAAUUAUUUCCUGUCUGUGGCCAAAUUCAAUGAGUUGUUGCUUAUAUAUGUUUGGUAUUUGCCAGUGGUUUACUGUCUGCUAUGCCAUUUUGGAUACUAUAAUCCUCUUGCAUUAUCGUAAAUAUUUCUUCUGAUAGUUUUCAUGUCAUUGUUCUGUUUUGAAUUAUGGUAUUUAUUGUUUGUUGUUCUUCAUAGAGGCCUUGUUUUGCUAGAAUGUUUGUUACUCCAUGUGUGAGUUUAUGUGUGUAAUGUCACUGUGUAUUGUGUUCCUUUUUGUGGGAUGUUUUUAUUGUGCGCCUCCAGGAAAAUUGUUGUAGUUGUGGCUCCAAGAGACUGGACCGAGGCUUGUUCAGGUCAGUGAUAGCGGACAACAAGCAGGACUUAAGCCAGAAAGAUUAGACCCAACUCAUAGAGUUUGCAGAGUCUGAGGGAACUGUUAGUGAACUAUUUUUCUGGAAUGUUUAUGGAAGAAACUUCUUUUGUCAGAUGUACAAUUUUUAGGAGUGGAAAUGAGGGUAUGACUCAAGAGUGACACGAAUUGCUAACUAAUAAUUUGAUUGGCCAGACAAAGAACCUGAAAUGCCGAAUAAAACAUAAGGACAGACCAAGCUGAAAUUUUUGCAGAAUUGCAGGGCAGAGGUUAGACUUGGGUAUACUCCUCCUGUGGCGCCCUUUGCUGGUAUGACUGAAGGGAGGUUGCAGAAGGUGGCUCAGCACUUGGGUUGUGGGUGUGGGUGACCGUCGGCUGGAGUCGCUGCUGCUACUGCUCGGACCAGCCCUGCCUGGCAGCAGCCAUCACACGUGUGCAGUCUCGUCGGCCACGCACCUCCUCGUAAUAUUCACAAAAUCAUUCCAGAUUAUCGUUUAUACGCAAGAAGAGGAGACGGAAUUAUCUUAAUGACAGGAGCGGCUUCAAAAAUUUCAACAUUGGAUCAUCUACUGUUUAGAAAGAUUUACAGUGUUUUGUUUUAAAACAACUGAUAUGUCCAGCUCAGUUCCACUUGGAUCACUUACGUCCUGGUCCUCUCCUGUCUUCAGGAAAAGCAGAAGGUGCUAGAAAGUCGUCGUGCAGCAGUGUGAGAUGGCCACCCGACACACUUAUGUACAUUAUCACAAGUAUACGUCUCGGAGCCUGCAGUGAUCUGUGCUGCACCUUGGAGUUCCUUCUGUGUUGAAGUUUCACGGUAUUGGGCUUCUGAAGAAUGGGACGCACUGAAGAAGUGAGUGUUGUUAGUCAGACUUUGAACAGCAAGCUCGUAAUUGCACAAUUGUUAAACUGGACAGUUGUUAAUAUGGACAAUUGUUAAAUCUGGCUACACAGUUUAUAAAUUCAUUGCUUGUGUGAAGUGUUUUCCUUCUUAUUUAUUUCAAUAGUGAUCGAUUACUGUGAGGUAAGACUGACUUCAGAGUGAGAUUCCAAUCAACGAAUUUCAACUCCACUGUCAAGAAAUUUGACAGAAACCCUUGCAAGUCGCGACAGUCAGUUUCAAGCCUGUAAUCAGUAUGGAAGUAGUAGUUUGGUAGAAGAGGGCCUAAUAUAAUUAUUGCAAGAAACUAGAUACUCGAGACUACAAGGUACCCGCACCUUGCAAGCAGCGACCACAUUAUGUGCUACAGGGGCAUUGCGUGGCGACACGAGACUGCCACCCGACGUGCUUAUGACAUCAGAAGUGUAUGUCUCGGAAUCUGCAGUGCCGUGUGCUGCACCAUUGGGUUCUUCAGUGGAAAGUACUGUGGUUUGGGCUUCCCAAGAAUGUAGAGCUUCUCUGAGGCAUUAUGAAACACAGAAGCAGCGAGCAAUGUUAAUCAGACUUUGAAUCGCAAGCACAUAACUGGGAAUUGUAAAAGGAUUUGUUGCUUGUGAGAAAUGAAUUCCUCUGUACUUAUCCCAACAGUAAUUGACUACUUCAACUGAUUGGAAAUAACAGACAACCAUUUGCGAAAUAUAGGUUUAUUACAUCUUGA
Molecule: long non-coding RNA, 3352 nt
Organism: Schistocerca serialis cubense
Lineage: Eukaryota; Metazoa; Arthropoda; Insecta; Orthoptera; Acrididae
Exons: 4
Source: RefSeq, a predicted model, not a curated record